This 492-nucleotide ribosomal RNA is filed under the name uncultured bacterium. Its description in RNAcentral is "partial 16S ribosomal RNA". It matches the Rfam family "Bacterial small subunit ribosomal RNA", at positions 28 to 507 of the family's 1533-position model. The record is from RNAcentral.
GAUGAACGCUAGCUACAGGCUUAACACAUGCAAGUCGAGGGGAAACGGCAUUGAGUGCUUGCACUCUUUGGACGUCGACCGGCGCACGGGUGAGUAACGCGUAUCCAACCUUCUCAUUACUGUGGGAUAACCUGCCGAAAGGCAGACUAAUACCGCAUAGUCUUCGAUGACGGCAUCAGAUUUGAAGUAAAGAUUUAUCGGUAAUGGAUGGGGAUGCGUCUGAUUAGCUUGUUGGCGGGGUAACGGCCCACCAAGGCUACGAUCAGUAGGGGUUCUGAGAGGAAGGUCCCCCACAUUGGAACUGAGACACGGUCCAAACUCCUACGGGAGGCAGCAGUGAGGAAUAUUGGUCAAUGGACGGAAGUCUGAACCAGCCAAGUAGCGUGCAGGAUGACGGCCCUAUGGGUUGUAAACUGCUUUUGUAUGGGGAUAAAGUUAGGGACGUGUCCCUAUUUGCAGGUACCAUACGAAUAAGGACCGGCUAAUUCCGUG